CGACGAAUCUUCCGCAAUGGGCGAAAGCCUGACGGAGCGACGCCGCGUGUGGGAUGAAGCGGCUUUGCCGUGUAAACCACUGUCAGGGAAUAGAAACAUUGAUCAUUUCCAAAGGAAGGGGCGACUAACUCUGUGCCAGCAGUCGCGGUAAUACAGAGGCCCCGAGCGUUAGUCGGAAUUACUGGGCUUAAAGGGUGCGUAGGCGGACUUCUAAGUGUCGCGUGAAAGCCCACGGCUUAACCGUGGAACC
Molecule: ribosomal RNA, 250 nt
Filed under: uncultured bacterium
Lineage: Bacteria
Description: partial 16S ribosomal RNA
Rfam family: Bacterial small subunit ribosomal RNA
Source: RNAcentral